RNAcentral lists this ribosomal RNA (396 nucleotides) under uncultured bacterium. RNAcentral's name for it is "bacterial SSU rRNA". It matches the Rfam family "Bacterial small subunit ribosomal RNA", at positions 28 to 424 of the family's 1533-position model. The record is from RNAcentral.
GACGAACGCUGGCGGCGUGCUUAACACAUGCAAGUCGAGCGGUAAGGCCCUUUCGGGGGUACACGAGCGGCGAACGGGUGAGUAACACGUGGGUGACCUGCCCUUAGCUCUGGGAUAAGCCUGGGAAACUGGGUCUAAUACCGGAUAUGACUCCAUGACGCAUGUUGUGGGGUGGAAAGCCUUGUGCGGCUAGGGAUGGGCCCGCGGCCUAUCAGCUUGUUGGUGGGGUGAUGGCCUACCAAGGCGACGACGGGUAGCCGGCCUGAGAGGGCGACCGGCCACACUGGGACUGAGACACGGCCCCAGACUCCUACGGGAGGCAGCAGUGGGGAAUCUUGCGCAAUGGACGAAAGUCUGACGCAGCGACGCCGCGUGUGGGAUGACGGUCUUCGGAUU